RNAcentral lists this unclassified non-coding RNA (222 nucleotides) under Hevea brasiliensis (rubber tree). Lineage: Eukaryota; Viridiplantae; Streptophyta; Magnoliopsida; Malpighiales; Euphorbiaceae. The record is from RNAcentral.
GAGGUUGAAUUUGGGAGUAAGAUGUCACUUCGUAAUCAUUGUGCUACUGUAGCAUUUUGUUUGUAUGUGUGAAAAAUUGUCCAAAAAUUGAUUAAUUAGGCUCAAAAUGUUCGUCUCGCAGAGUACAACAAAACUGUGCAAUUAGUUUUUGAUUUUAUCUACAUUUAGUACUACAUACAUGCUAUGACAUUUUGAUGUGAUGGAAAUCUUCUUUUUACAUAG